UGUUUUUUUUAAUUUACCCCCCAAUAAACUCUUUACCGUGUGGGCAGGUCCGUUAUUUAGCGGUUAGGGUUGGAAGCAAGACGGGAGUAGUGUGUAGUUUACCAGGAGCGCCAGCGGUUUGGAAGCGGGAAGGGCUGGAUGGAGACUGGGGUCGGGGCUGGACAGUGCAGGAGGUGCUAACUCGGCGGCGGCGGCGGCAGGCUGGUUGACAUUAUCUCUCUCCAUCUCUCUCUCUCACCCCCUCUUGGAAUCUGCGGGGAGCCGAAAGGGUUAAAAAGAGAAAGCUAGAAAGUCUGCGGUGGCGAUUGAAUGUCCUUCCACCCACCCCCUCCCCCAGACUGCACAAAUCCCCAGCAUCUCUCCGUGGUCAGGGGGGGAAGCUAAGGGUUUCUCUGGUUGCUGGGUGGUCCUGCAGGCAGCUACCUGUGACCGGUGCCACUUCCACCAUGGUCAGGGUGAGCCGCGGCUGCAGUGUAGAGUCUAGGACGCAAUCAUCUCCCGGCUCCGUGCCCUGCUUGGUAGAAGCCACUCGCUGAUUUUUAUUUUUUUGUUGAUUUGGAGGAAGAAGCGUUUUGAUUUUCAAAGAGGGCGAGAAACCCCCCCCCCCCCCCAACAACCAAGUUUGGGGUUGAAACGGUAUGGGUCAUUUCUACGGUGGACCUUUCGGCCUCGGCACCAAGCGAGCUGCGGUCUCCCCGAAAGUUCAGAUCGCCGAGUGCCCGGGUUGACCGCUCUUGCUCCAGUCGUGGUUCAUGCCCGCUGCGGACAACGUGUGGACGAGGCGGAGGAAGGAGGACAAGACCCAGCUAAUGUCCCGGCGGCGAUGACACCGGUUCUACUCAUCGGGAAGACGCUCGGGAGGAGUGGGCGACAGAAAGCAGCAGAAGACGGUGCAAGUGAACGCUGAAGAUGCCAUGGCCACGGUGCCCUGUAACAUAACGACCUCACCAGGACAGUCAAGAGUGGUGAAUCUCAAAUGCAAUUUCUGAAGGCAACAACCAUGGGUUUGUACAGAGACACGGGGAACUUCAGGUGC
Long non-coding RNA from Amblyraja radiata (thorny skate), 1036 nucleotides. RefSeq lists it as uncharacterized. The transcript is spliced from 4 exons. NCBI's taxonomy places the organism in Eukaryota, Metazoa, Chordata, Chondrichthyes, Rajiformes, Rajidae. The record is from RefSeq and is a predicted model, not a curated record.